GAUGAAGAACGUAGCGAAAUGCGAUAAGUAAUGUGAAUUGCAGAAUUCAGUGAAUCAUCGAAUCUUUGAACGCACAUUGCGCCCCCUGGUAUUCCGGGGGGCAUGCCUGUCCGAGCGUCAUUACAACCCUCAAGCUCAGCUUGGUAUUGGGCCCCGCCGCUCCGGCGGGCCCUAAAGUCAGUGGCGGUGCCGUCCGGCUCCGAGCGUAGUAAUUCUUCUCGCUCUGGAGGUCCGGUCGUGUGCUCGCCAGCAACCCCCAAUUUUUUUCAGGUUGACCUCGGAUCAGGUAGGGAUACCCGCUGAACUUAAGCAUAUCAACAAGCGGAGGA
This 329-nucleotide unclassified non-coding RNA is filed under the name soil metagenome. RNAcentral describes it as "partial contains 5.8S ribosomal RNA, internal transcribed spacer 2, and large subunit ribosomal RNA". The stretch from base 1 to 120 matches the Rfam family "5.8S ribosomal RNA", at positions 35 to 154 of the family's 154-position model. The record is from RNAcentral.